This 526-nucleotide small RNA is filed under the name Pan troglodytes (chimpanzee). Its description in RNAcentral is "processed transcript". Lineage: Eukaryota; Metazoa; Chordata; Mammalia; Primates; Hominidae. The record is from RNAcentral.
ACAAACACGGCGGAACCGGUUGCAGGGAGGUUGCUUGAAUUCUCUCAGCUGCGCCCCCUGACCUAAUAGUCGCUGGCACAAGCUGCGCCCAGAGACGUGGGAGCGUUCUCUUGUUUUCCGAGUGCGCAGACUCAUCGGGUCACAGUUUAUGCUUUUAUGACGCGGGAACACAACAGAUUUGAGAAGCCUCGGAUUAAGGAAUAAUUUAUGAAGCUCCGUUGACUACCGUGGAGAGAUCAUAAUUUGGGGUUCAAGAUUCCAGUCUGUGUUUUUGCAGAGGUGCCCUGAGGAGCAGGGAAGCAUGGCUAUUGUGGAUGUAAAAGCCAUGUUCAAGGCUCUGUUAUUCUGCACCUACACAUUUCUGAUGCCAAGUCUUCCUGAUGAGUUAUUAUAACUCUUUUAUCAUUAUGAGAAAAUUAUCUUUGAUAAUAUAGAGUAACUUGAAGUCUGUUUCAUCUGAUACUAAUAUAGCCAUUCCAACAUUUUUUUUCUGCAAAUUAAAUGCCAAGAUUUAAAAGUUAUCUAA